GCUGUUCGGUGAUGAGGCUCAGAGUGCACGCUGGGCACAGCGCCCGAAUCAGACACUGUGGAACCAUUCUCUACUGCCUUCCUUCUGAGAACAGC
Small nucleolar RNA from Callithrix jacchus (white-tufted-ear marmoset), 95 nucleotides. The record is from Ensembl. NCBI's taxonomy places the organism in Eukaryota, Metazoa, Chordata, Mammalia, Primates, Cebidae.